GACGAACGCUGGCGGCGUGCUUAACACAUGCAAGUCGAACGGAAAGGCCCUGCUUUUGUGGGGUGCUCGAGUGGCGAACGGGUGAGUAACACGUGAGUAACCUGCCCUUGACUUUGGGAUAACUUCAGGAAACUGGGGCUAAUACCGGAUAGGAGCUCCUGCUGCAUGGUGGGGGUUGGAAAGUUUCGGCGGUUGGGGAUGGACUCGCGGCUUAUCAGCUUGUUGGUGGGGUAGUGGCUUACCAAGGCUUUGACGGGUAGCCGGCCUGAGAGGGUGACCGGCCACAGUGGGACUGAGAUACGGCCCAGACUCCUACGGGAGGCAGAAGUGGGGAAUAUUGCACAAUGGGCGGAAGCCUGAUGGAGCAACGCCGCGUGCGGGAUGACGGCCUUCGGGUUGUAAACCGCUUUCGCCUGUGACGAAGCGUGAGUGACGGUAACGGGUAAAGAAGCACCGGCUAACUACGUG
RNAcentral lists this ribosomal RNA (468 nucleotides) under uncultured bacterium. Its description in RNAcentral is "partial 16S ribosomal RNA". It matches the Rfam family "Bacterial small subunit ribosomal RNA", at positions 28 to 507 of the family's 1533-position model. The record is from RNAcentral.